Long non-coding RNA from Mandrillus leucophaeus (drill), 423 nucleotides. RefSeq lists it as uncharacterized. The transcript has 2 exons. The record is from RefSeq and is a predicted model, not a curated record. NCBI's taxonomy places the organism in Eukaryota, Metazoa, Chordata, Mammalia, Primates, Cercopithecidae.
AUGAAUGGCAGAGACUUUUCCCUAAAUGGGUUACUUGAUUUAAGAGCUGCUGGCUAAUUUUGGUUGGAUACUUUAAUAGAAGAGGGAAGAGAAAAGGAAAGAAAGGGGCUUGAAGAAAGAGGUAGAGAAAAGAAACACAAGGAUGGAGAACAAAGAGAGACCAUUUGUUCUCAAAUAGUAGCUGCCACUUCCAGCUGGGGGAGAAAUGAGAGCUCUGUUCGUGGUGAUCCAGUAUCUCCAGAGUCCAUCACCACUGCUGACCUCCCACUCUACAUCUCCAAGCGCUCUGCUAUACCUGCCACGAGCAGCUGUCACCUGCAGACUUUGGAAGGUUACAACCAAACCUCUGUUUUAUGACCUGCCUUCUGCUUCAACAUCCUGACUUCCCACAAACAAUUCUAAUAAAGAGCAAUUAACCUGAAA